Long non-coding RNA from Pristis pectinata (smalltooth sawfish), 1632 nucleotides. RefSeq lists it as uncharacterized. Lineage: Eukaryota; Metazoa; Chordata; Chondrichthyes; Rhinopristiformes; Pristidae. The transcript has 3 exons. The record is from RefSeq and is a predicted model, not a curated record.
AUCGGUUCGUACUAUCAGUACUUUCCACCUUCUACCGCUCUGUAUCUCCUGCUGUUAUCCUGAAACAAUUCCUGGACAUUGACCGCCUUAAGAUGGCUGGAGUAGAAAGGUUUCGCUGCUGAUUGACAAUCGCUGAUGAUGUCAGGCAAGUCUCCAAGAAUAUGGAACUUCUGAUCUGCUGACUUCCACUGUGACAUGACCAACCAUCACUCUGAUGUCUUGAGGAAAGAAAGGCAGGGAGAAAGUUGCUUAACUGGACCCCAACGUUUAUGAGACAAUGUCCAACACAAAGAUCCCUUAUAAUGAGGGUGUGAAAAGUACUACGACCGUGGGAUAUAUUUUGACUUCCCAGCCGGGUAACUGCAAGAUAACAGCCAGCUAACAUUAGCCAUACAGUAUUAGGUGAAAGUUAUUGAUGUGCAAUUUGCUUUUUUACAUUUUCAUUCGUACUUGUUGGCCUUACAGUUUUUUUUUCAAAGCAUCUACAUAUUUUCUAGCAAGAUUAUUUUAAUUGAAAUCAUGCAAAAAAAUCUCAUCAGAAGCUUUGACAUUUAAGGGUACAGUUUUGAUGUAAACUGCGAUUUGCAUUAGAGGGCGCUACCAUGAGAGAUCCUGAGAUGGUGAGCAAGAGCGAACCUCGAAGGUUGUAUCAAUUGAGAAGAGUAAGUUUUAGGUUUUGCGAUCUCCUUUGCCGCGUAAAGGACAUCAUACAAUGUUAACGGAUAAAGUAUUUGAAAGGAAUCACUGAGGAAAACCUAUCAAAUAAUUAUCUGGAACAAGGUUGGAUAUAAUGAAAGUGCUCAAAUUGGUUUACAAAUCAUGUAAUACCCUUAUCGACUUUAAUGUAUAGGUUGUAUAUUUGACCACCAGACAUCUAAACUAGUGCACAAAGAUCUCUGACUGAUUUGGAAAAAUAAAAAAUUCGCUGGAGGACGACAAUGUGUGUUGAUGGCGGUGGGAACGGAAUCAUCAAGUGUGCAUACCCGGCCACUGCCUCUGUCACUAACGUUGAAGUGUUAUCUGAGGGGGUUAAAUUUACAACUUCCUCUGCUUUGGUUGAGCAAACUCAACAGUCAUAAAGUCAUCUAAAGACACAAAGACAUAAUUCUCAUUCCCAGAAGAAAGCGUGUUUAUUUAUCUGAAGCCAACUACGGAAAAGAUUAAUAAAAUGAAGAAGAGUGUGAUCGAUUGGUAACAAGAGAACAGAACCGCGACCAAUACACUGGACAAUUAAAAUACCCACGAUAUCAAAUGCAAUGUACCCUAAAAGGCCUGCGCAUUGCAUGAAGCUUCCUUGAAAUCGUCCCUUAUGUGUAAAAAAAACUUCAGUAGAACAAUUUUGGAAUUUACAUUUUCUGAAGCCACAGAUUGUUUUGGGUAUUUCUGAAUUGAUUCGGGAGGGUAGUAGACAUGCUUAAUCUUACUGCAACAGUUCGCAAAUACGAACAAAACCUAUUUAUAUGAAAUAAAGUGUUACCAUACCGUAAUAUUUAUAUAGAAAUAAUAUCUAUUAAUGAAUAUUGUUACUUACCGUCGCUUUGGAAAUAAACGUGUAUAUUUCAUGACAGACCAUAUAAAUAUCUAAAAAUACGAAUGCCAUUCUCUUCGCGUGAAUAUGAUUUCUGCUUCAUA